GCUCAGGACGAACGCUGGCGGCGUGCUUAACACAUGCAAGUCGAACGGUGAAGCCCUUCGGGGUGGAUCAGUGGCGAACGGGUGAGUAACACGUGAGCAACCUGCCCCUGACUCUGGGAUAACUACCGGAAACGGUGGCUAAUACCGGAUAUGACCUGCUCGGGCAUCUGAGUGGGUGGAAAGUUUUUCGGUUGGGGAUGGGCUCGCGGCCUAUCAGCUUGUUGGUGGGGUGAUGGCCUACCAAGGCGACGACGGGUAGCCGGCCUGAGAGGGCGACCGGCCACACUGGGACUGAGACACGGCCCAGACUCCUACGGGAGGCAGCAGUGGGGAAUAUUGCGCAAUGGGCGAAAGCCUGACGCAGCGACGCCGCGUGGGGGAUGAAGGCCUUCGGGUUGUAAACCUCUUUCAGCGCCGAAGAAGCGAAAGUGACGGUAGGCGCAGAAGAAGCACCGGCUAACUACGUGCCAGCAGCCGCGGUAAUACGUAGGGUGCAAGCGUUGUCCGGAAUUAUUGGGCGUAAAGAGCUCGUAGGCGGUCUGUCGCGUCUGCUGUGAAAACUCGGGGCUUAACUCCGGGCUUGCAGUGGGUACGGGCAGACUAGAGUGCGGUAGGGGAGACUGGAAUUCCUGGUGUAGCGGUGAAAUGCGCAGAUAUCAGGAGGAACACCGGUGGCGAAGGCGGGUCUCUGGGCCGUAACUGACGCUGAGGAGCGAAAGCGUGGGGAGCGAACAGGAUUAGAUACCCUGGUAGUCCACGCCGUAAACGUUGGGCGCUAGGUGUGGGGUCCGUUCCACGGGUUCCGUGCCGCAGCUAACGCAUUAAGCGCCCCGCCUGGGGAGUACGGCCCGCAGGCUAAAACUCAAAG
Molecule: ribosomal RNA, 868 nt
Filed under: uncultured bacterium
Lineage: Bacteria
Description: bacterial SSU rRNA
Rfam family: Bacterial small subunit ribosomal RNA
Source: RNAcentral